UAUUGUUUCCCCAGUUGCUAGAGACUUUGACGGCUUGGUGUUGUUCCUGAUGGGUGCUUCUUAUGCUGCAGUUAAAGCUUUUCCAUAUAGUUAGUUCCAUGGCUGCCCCAGUUACUGACUUUGAGAAACUUAUUUGCACUGUAUUAGAAGCUGAACGACCAUAAAUCAGUCAUUUGCAUGGGAAGUCUCUUUUAGAGGCAAAUGAGUCAUUCCUUGAUAAGCAUAAAGAUUCCUUAAUGCAUAGGGUGCCCUAGUUGCAAAUUAUCCAUGGGAUGGAACAGAGGAUAAGAGGUGAUCAUUUGACAUUCCGAUUCAUAUGGUGAAUUCGUGGGCCACUUAUCUUGAUAAUUUGCUUGAUUUCCCAGCCUGCGUGCAGAGCCUAUUGUCACUUUGAUCUGUGUUGUCCUACAUGUUAUUUGCUAGAUGUAUUAGGCAUUACUUUUUCAUUGAUCGGUUGUUCUUUCUCUAUGUUCAUGAGUUAAAUCUCCAGCUAAUAUGUAGAUCAAAGGUCUGCUUUGAUCUCCAGUUUGCAGCGUGUCCCAAACCUUUUAUGUAUUACUCCUAUGUUAAGUUAAGUCAUCCUUUCAUAGUGAUGAAAAAGUUGAAAUCAUUCAGUUUUAAAGGGACAACAGAAUAUAGAAAGGUGCUGCACAUUAAUCGAAGUUUACAUGUGAUCUUUUAUUGGCCUACUUGAAUUGUUGUUUAUAACUUUUCAUAAAUUACUGUAGUAAUUAUACUUUUGCUUUCAUAUCCUAUAUUCUUAAUGACUAUUGGCAAUCCUAAAUUGCAGGAGACAUUACUUUGCCAGCCCUAAUGAUGAAACCUUUCGGUUCAUGGCAAGUAUAUAUAGUCGCUCUCAUCGUAACAUGUCAUUGAGUAAAGAAUUUGAAGGAGGAAUUAUGAAUGGAGCAGCUUGGUAUGACCGUUUUGAGGUAAAUCCAUUGUAGCUCAUAAUAUAGGAAGUGCUGAUCUUUUCAGUGUUUUAAUCUAAUACCUUUGUCAAGUGAACCGCUGGAUUUUGCAAAAGAAAAAUAGUUCACAUUCUAUAAUAUUAAACGCUUAUGAGUAUUAUAGAUUGUGUUCGUGUUGUAUUCUCUUUGAUGAAUGAAAAAAUUUUGUUUAUUAUUGUUG
Molecule: long non-coding RNA, 1131 nt
Organism: Eucalyptus grandis
Lineage: Eukaryota; Viridiplantae; Streptophyta; Magnoliopsida; Myrtales; Myrtaceae
Exons: 3
Source: RefSeq, a predicted model, not a curated record